GGGGGUGACAGGUUUCGACAACGAAUGUCGAGACGGGAGAAGCGAGCCGAGAAACCACUGUGAUCUCGUAAACCUUCGGUGGAAAACUAUAGGUGCCAAACAAAACAAGGGCACCGUCGCUCUCGCUGCCUAACAGCGAAAAGUGACGCGUUCGGCGGGAAUUGUCCCCGCACCGUCGGGCGUCGUGAGGGGACUCACCAAAGGCCCGGGCCACCCGGGUCGGCGGAACAUUUUUAGUGGCUGAGACCGCGUUCUCUGCGGAGUCGUAAGAAGCAGAGAGGUCGAGAACGCGCUACGCCGACUGCGCUCGGAGAAGUCCCGAAUCUGCACCGUUGGACCCGGGUUCGAUUCCCGGCACCUCCACAA
This 366-nucleotide transfer-messenger RNA is filed under the name Actinomycetes bacterium. It matches the Rfam family "transfer-messenger RNA". Rfam says of the family: Bacterial tmRNA, also known as 10Sa RNA or SsrA, is named for its dual tRNA and mRNA-like properties. The record is from RNAcentral. Lineage: Bacteria; Bacillati; Actinomycetota; Actinomycetes. RNAcentral also lists the same sequence under 1 other name.